RNAcentral lists this long non-coding RNA (33725 nucleotides) under Triticum aestivum (bread wheat). Its description in RNAcentral is "long non-coding RNA (TAES_LNC015567)". The stretch from base 2373 to 2507 matches the Rfam family "MIR1120/MIR1122 microRNA precursor family". The record is from RNAcentral. Lineage: Eukaryota; Viridiplantae; Streptophyta; Magnoliopsida; Poales; Poaceae.
UGACGUGGUACUGGUGCCGGUCCAAAUGUUUGUGUAGAACAGAGGAAGCAGCUAGCGGAAGUCAAACAUUGAUGUGUUUGUAAUGCACGGUGUCGGCUGAGGACUAAUGUACGGAGAUUGUAGUCAUGUGCUCACCUGAUACAUGGAUAAUGAUUUUCAGUUCAGUACCCAGAAUUUUGAGUUCUAGUGAUGGUUAGUGUCUUAUGUCUAAGUGAUCAAAUUGAAUAUGAUCCCUUUCAUGAAUGUGGACCAUAUAUAGCCAUGGACUUGCCGUGAUUACUUUGCCAUUGCCCAUUGCACAUGUGAUGAAUUUUGCUGUGUCUCAAUCUGUUCCAGAUGCUUGCAGAUUUUGAUGCUUUGGGCUUUGACUGGGCAUGUUUGGCAAAUAUAUUGAAGUGAAUCAAAUAGCGUUGCGGUAUACCAGGGAGCAGGCAGCAUCUUGCUGGGCAGAGAGCAACCGACUGAAAAACUGAGGUUAGCAAACUGUUUUCCAAACUCAAGCAAAUUUUAAUAAAUGAUAGUUAAAUUAUCCACCGGAACAGGCUUGCCUGAGUCCUUUUAGAUUCUCCAGGCCAGAUAACUUAUAUGGAGGUGACCCACCGUGGCAGUCAACCUUGAGCAGCUCAAGUUUCUUCAUUGAUUUAUACCCAAAAGACACGUGUAAGCUGCUGGAGCUGCUACCACAAGCAAUCUGGAGGAUCUUGACCUUUUCAAAUAAGUGGACCACUACAUUAUUCACAGAGACAUGAAAGCAGAUCGUACCAUCUUGGAGCUGCUUGACACGAAGAAUACAUAGUUGUUGUAGCUCUCCAAGAAACUUCAUCAUGUCGUUUCCCAUCAAAGUGGCCAUCUCCAAAUCCAGCUUUGUGAGCUUGCUGAGCUGGUUGAUCCCCCAUUCUGGCAACUUGUCAUUAAGCCCAUACAGUUUAAGGCUCCGAAGGUUCUCCAAUGCCAGAGGCAUGGGGAUGCCAUCCAAGCAGCCUUGAUUACCACGAUUCCUGGAGCAACAGCCUUGAGUUUCGUUGUCGAGCUGCACUGACAAGGACUCCAGAUGUACAUGACCCUCGAUUGCAGAGAAGAACUCCUUGCUGUUCUUCUUGUUGAUGCCAGACACUCCGAGCUUGCUCAGUUGGGUGAGCUUCUUGAGAUCUUUCACAAAGGUCUUUGAUCCUGAAGCAGCAACGUUGAUAACACCAAGCGUGUGCAACGCCGUCAGUUUUCCUAACCCUCCAGGCACCUUAACACCAACUAAGGAAUGUCGUUUGCACAACCAGCUGGACGAAACAUUUGGUGAUGGUGUUGUUGCUGGGACAUCUGUGCUGCCGGCGCGAAUGUACUGCAGCUUCUGUAACUUUGUAAUAUUCUCCGGAAGGGUCAAUGUGGAGGUGCCCCUGACGUCCAAAGUCUGUAGCUGCCUCAGAUGGUCCAGUGAACUUGGUAGGCGGUUGAUCUCGGGCCGUCCUCGCAGUGAGAGGAACUUGAGGCGACGCAACAGUUUCACCAUCUUCUUGAGAUCUUCAUACUCAACACUACCUGACGCAUCCUCUAGAUCAAGCACCCGAAGCAUCUUCAUACUUUUGGAGAUGAAGAAUGAUUCCCACUGCCCAAACACAGUGAGUGACCUUAGCCGUGAGAAGUCGAUGCUCUCGAACACAGUUUUUUCUGUGUCCCGGCUUGAUAUGACAAGGUGACGCCCUGUGCUUUGGCUGGUUAGGACAGAACUCCUGCCUCCCAAUUCAAACACAAGGUUCUCUUCCAUUCGUCGUGAUACAAUGUACUCGCGAAUGAGACCAUUGACCUGGUAAAAACUCAUCCUUGUGUCAUUCAGUGUGGUGCCACUUAGUUGUGUUACCUGCUGGAAUAUGCUCUUUUCUAGGAGCUGUGAGAAGAACUUCUCCGCAUUCUCCUCGCCAUGUUUUUCCAAUAGUACCCUUGAGUAUCCCUCUGCGAUCCACCGCCUUAUUAGCCGUCUCCGCCGAAUGAUUUGGUUUGGAGGAAAAAUUGCCAGGUAAAAGAUACAUGGCUUGAGGAAAUCUGGGGGAUUAAGUAUGAUGGAGUUCAUCCAACCAAAAAGACCACUUAGACAAUCAAACUCUCGGUUAGUCUCUAUAUGAUCCAUAAAUCCAUCAUUCAAAUAACGAACAGUAUCCUUGAAUGUGUCAGGCUUCAAUGGUGCCAAUAAGCCAGCAAUAGCAAUUAUCACUUUGGGAAGACCCCCGCACUUCAGAGUAAGUUCGUGAAGUUGAACCUCCAGAUCUGGGUCAUGAUAUUUUGAAGGGAAUGAUUUAUUCUUCCUGGUAACCUAUUGCUCAGAAAAUGUAAGGUUAUCAGUUAGCAUUACAACAUCAAUGAAAUCAGAAUUUCAUGUCUCGGUUGUACACCCCCCUUCCCGAAUUAGUUGACUUAGAUUUGUUUACAUGCGGAUGUAUCUGAAUAAGUUUUAGUGUUAGAUACAUCAGUAUCUAGACAGAUUUAAGACAACUAAUUUGGGACGGAGGGAGUACUAGACUAUGAAGGCGAGGAGCUAUAUAUAAACACGUGAUAUAUCCAUGCAUUAGUUCAAAAGCAUAACUGCAAUCCAAUGUAAGAGGGCGGAGCAGGGAAGGUUGACACCUACCUCAAUUUUUAGGUGUCAAAUGUUAUUUCUCUAUUUAAUCAGGUCGGCAUAUGUGGUUUCUAGGUCUCUAACUUAACGCUGGGGAGAAAGCGAGCUCAUGCACGAGAACUAGCAUGAAACUACUACAUAGAUAUAUACUAGCCAGAAACUCCCUUCAUAAAAGAUACAAUAAGUAAAUGGAAGAGGGGAAACACACCUCCUCUUUAAAGAGAGCAAGGGCAUCAUCAGCUUGUAGACCUUUAACAUUAAACGUGAGCUCCCCUUUAUUUCCGCGGCAAUGCCUGGCAACGCUUUCUUCAGCGGUAAUGAUGAUAAUACAGUUCUUUGAAGAUCCAGAUACCAAUUCAGCCUGUAUCAAGUCCCAUUCUUUCGUGGACUCGAUACCAUCAAUGACAACGAGGCACCUAACCUGUUUAAGAAUCCCACGGCACUCUAGAAUGGGGUUUUUGCUUCCCAUCAUAUCAAUAUCAUGGUCCUUGUUGGCUUGAAGAGAUUGGGAAUGAAAACUCAAUAGUAAACUCCGAGAGAAUUCUCUCAAAUUGAAUGGAUAGGAUACAUCCACCCAGGCAUACUUGUCAAAUAUGCUGGGUUUGGUUUUCUCAACUAGUCUGCAGUCGUUAAGAACUGUGUCGCACAGCAAGUUUUUCAGGAGAGCUGAUUUCCCAACGCCAGCUAUCCCCCACACGGACAUAACUUCAAAUGAAUAGAAACGUGCCUUUGAAGUAUAUUGACGGAGAUUAUUCAUUUCCGACUCCCGUCCAACAAGGGGAUGCUUCGUCAUCCAGUCUUGGGCUGCUGUCUUUCCAACACCAGUCUCCUCGCCUUUAUCUCGGUCACAUUGAGGUCCCUGAAAACUUAACAGUCAGGGCCAGAAGUAUCUAACACAAAAAUUGUGCUGAGAAAAAGUAUUAGUACGUAACGGAGCGGCGAGCAAGCACUAAAAUAAUUGUUGUGCUACUGCUACAGCUAAGCCGCGUAUAAUUAAAGUUUUCUCUUAGGUAGCUGAAGACAUCCUCAAAGCAUGGUUAAUAGUAUAGCCAACUGCUUGCUAUAUUUUAUGUUGUUGCCAUGUCAUAUAUAGUCAUAUAGUCACUCAUACAAUAAGGUUAGCUAUAAGAGUACUACUUUUUCCCAGCUUCACUCAUACAAUAAGGUUAGCUAUAAUUAAAGUUCUAAUGAGAUCGAGCUUUAAUCGUCAUUGACAGGAACUCAAAGGUCUUGCCCCUUCCUCUUGAUCCAAAAACGGUGGAAAAGCGCAGAAUCAGUAAUUCAUUUUCUCAGAAUGUGAAAUCUAAAGAUAAGAUUCCAAUAUCUGAUAUCCGACCACCUUGGGUUACAGAAGAAGCAUAUAUGGUUCUGAAAUAGGAGCAGUUUCAGUACUUCCUAAAUGGUCCCAAAUUACUUGUCAAAGAAAUAGAUAGAAAAAGAUGUAUCUGGAACUGAAAAUGCGUUUAAAUACAUCCAUUUGUGCGACAAGUAAUUCGGGAUAGAGGGAGUACAAAUGAGUGUACAUAGACAUAGAGGGAGUACAAAUGAGUGUACACCACGGGCCCUCCCCCUCCCGAGCCGCCCCCCGCGUGGGCGACCGGGAGGCCCCAGAUCCCAUCGGCCGGACCUCCCCCACUCCUCCUCCACCCUCGCCGCCGCCCAAGCGAAGCCUUGCCGUCGCCGGCGGCAGCGGGGACUCGGGCCCUCUCGCUCGGGUGGGCUGGCGCGGGAUAGCGCCCCCGGGCCGGAGCGUGGCGGGCGGGCCGGUAGCCACGGCGGGUGGUGGCGGCGCAUCGGCGACCUCGCUUCCCCGCGGUAGGAGGUCUCGCGAUCUGGUGCGUCGCGGCCGCCAGGGACGGUGGCGGCGUGACCGGAUCGGUUCGCGGCGGCGCGGCCGGAUCUAUGCCCAUGCGUGGGCCUUGAUCGCUGGUCUGUCAUCGGCACGGUGGUGGGUGCAACUCGUCGACGGCUGGCAGAUCCGCGAGAUUCUACCCUUGUCUGGUCCUUGACAGCGCGGGCAACUCCGCGGGAAACCCUAGAUCUCCUUGGGAUCGAACGAUGGCGGCGCUUUUGCGUCGUAGUCCCUCUUUAGGGCAUUGUUUUGGAGUUUGCUCCAGUUGAAGGGACCAACGACGUCGGCGGCGCAAGUCUGGUGGAGCAACUGCCGAUGAAAAUCGCACCGACUACGGUUAUGGCGGACGAUGGCGGCGUCUUUGAUGUCGUUCCCUUGUCGAGGCAUCGUCGUUGCAGUCUGCGUCAUCAGGCUCGGGAUGCUCUGGGGGAAACCCUAGAUCUGGGUCUUCCGGAUCGGACGAUGAUGGCGUUUUAUCGUUUUCCCUCUUUGGGGCAUCGUUUUGGAGUAAGUGCUGGCUGGGGGGGUGGUGGAGCGGUGCUUCAUCUCACACAUUGAUGGCGGCGGAUAUCGGCGGCAUGACGCUGCGGAGGCUCGGCGUCCGAUCCACAGACGUCAUGGUGACGUCGAUGGCAGAGUGGCCAGACAAGGUAGAAGCCUCAAUAUGAUCUGAAGACGGACCCGGUAUGUGGCUCGGCUGGGGCUUCCGAAUGAGUUUCGGCUUUCGGCUUUUGAUGUUAGACUUAGGUGAGUGGUUUGGGUAGUGGCCCAACUAGCACCCCUUCAUCAUUUUGGAUAGUAGUGGCAUAUGUUGCCAAGACGGGGGAUUCAGGCUCAUUGUUGUAAUACUUUGUAAGGUCCUCGAGAAUAAUCAAUAAAAUGGCCGUAUGCAUCUCCCAGAUGCAGAGGCCGGGGGUCAUCCUCCUUUUCUAAAAAAAACAUAGACAUAGACAUGCUGAUUGGGUGUGCACCUAACACCAUGACAUGUUUCACAUUGUCACGGUUCACUCGACUCAUGUUUCUACAUGAGGUAAUCAGCCAUACAUCCAGCUGCUUGCCCUCAGACGAUAGGAUUGCAUCCGGCUGAUUGCCGACUAGUUGGUUGCCGUCAAUAGCUUGAUCAGCCAGAUAAUGCUCCCAGCACCGGUCAUAGCAGCAGCGGCGACACUCGUUCGGUAUAGAAGGUAGAGCAGGAAGUGCAUAGGCGAAGCUAACACAUCUAGUUCAUAUUGUCUCGGCCGACCGACGUGCAAUAUUGUGAUUCUACGGGAGAGAAAAGGAGUUUAGCUUUCACGUUGAGGAGUUGGGUCAAGAAGAUACAGAGAAUCAAAUGGAUGAGAGAAGCAAACACAUCUAGCUCGUGGCGUCCGGCGCCAGCACGCCGGCCGGCUCACCCUUGUGAUUUCAUGCUCGAGAAGAGGGGAUUAAUUUUGUUGUGAGAAUUUUUUUAGANNNNNNNNNNNNNNNNNNNNNNNNNNNNNNNNNNNNNNNNNNNNNNNNNNNNNNNNNNNNNNNNNNNNNNNNNNNNNNNNNNNNNNNNNNNNNNNNNNNNNNNNNNNNNNNNNNNNNNNNNNNNNNNNNNNNNNNNNNNNNNNNNNNNNNNNNNNNNNNNNNNNNNNNNNNNNNNNNNNNNNNNNNNNNNNNNNNNNNNNNNNNNNNNNNNNNNNNNNNNNNNNNNNNNNNNNNNNNNNNNNNNNNNNNNNNNUAGCUUUGAGUGUGUUUGGUAGCUUGCAAUAGGUCCAACCAGCCCGUGCAGUGCAAAAAUGGCCCAUUUGAUAGAAUGAGAUAUCGUUGUAGCUACUGGUGAUGGAUUGAUAGCACGCUAGGUGUUGCUUGAAGGCCUUCAUAAUGUUCAUGUUGUUUCUAUGUCGACAAGGAUGAUACUAUGGUAGAUAUGGUAUUAGCCCGUGAAUCAGAACAUGUGUAGUAUGCUAGUUUGAAAGUAUGUAGGUGUCGUAGUGUGUUGAACUCCAUGGUAUGCUAGCUUGAAUACUAGUCAUAGGGUGGUGUCUUGAACUUCAUGAUCCAUGUCUACUAUGUUUACUGCCUAUGUCUAGUGGUCUUUCUUACUGCCCAUGUGUAGUGUGUUCCACUAGUCCUGACGCUAACGCUUGUAGGACAUGAGUAUGCAAGAGUUUAAUCGGGCCAUUGUUUUGUCCAAGCGACUAUUCCUCCCACCCUAUGUUGAGGACUCCCGACCUAUGACUGAGGAACUGAUGCCUCUGGGAUUCAGAUGUCUUCCAGGGGUCAGUUAGGCCUCAAAUAUUUGUGAUGGUUGUGCCUAAUGCUACUGCUGCUGCACAUAAGGCAACCAUCAAGGCUGGGAAGGCAAAGAUUGUUGAGAGGGGGAACUCGAUGAAAUGGCAUCCGUUCCGGUCCACAUUCUUUCUUAACAAGAUGCGUGAGAUCAUAGCAAGUGGGAUGAGGACUGAUAAGGGCUUCAAGGAGGCACACUUGAAUUUUGUUGCCAAGCAGGUGUUCAAGUUCUAUGGUCAAGAGGUCACCUCGACCAGGUCUACAACCACCUCAGGAAGUGGAGAGCCAGAUGGAUCCAAGUGUCCAAGGUCAGAGUCCUAAACAACACAUCAUGGGAUCAGGACACCUACACGAUCCUGUUGGAAGUAGAGCACUACCAAGGCCACAUCACGAUUAGCUCACAUGCCACUUGUUUAAGCCUGUCUAACAUGAGAAUUACAACAAACCACAUUGUGUUUCCUUCUUAGGACCACACAAGGACGCGUAGUUCCUCAACACAACCAUCCAUAACUACCCACAGAUGCAGUAGAUCUUCUCCUUUGGGCUGGCAACCGGCAAGCAUGCCACGGGCUCCGGUGAGCUACUCGGUUCACCUAUGCCUGACUUUCAAGACACCUAGGACUUAGAGACCUUCGUCGUUGAUGGUCCUCACAAUGGUGGUGAUCAUGUUCAUGUUCUUGAUAGGAAGAGGAAGAAGGGUGGCUUGAUGAAGGAGCUGAGUGUCUUCAGCAGCAUGACUGACACCGUCAAGGAGUUGGCAACCGCCAUUAGGGAGAGCAAGCCGGUCGAUGUCCACCUUGACCAAUAUAUGGUCAUCGUGGACCAAGGUGGCUUCAGUCCGAAUGCUCUAACAACUACUCUUAGCCACCUGCUGGAUGAUAAAGCACAUGGUAUUGGGUUCGUUUCCAUGGCGCUGGCUUAGGUCCAUCCUGGGAAAGCACUACUACUUGUGAUGUUUCUGGUAGUUGGGAUGAUGGCAUGCAUGAUGAUCGAUGAUGCAUUUUAUGGUGGCUAGGGCAUGAAAACUAUUUUUGUCAUAUUAAAUUAUUUUCUUGUGGUCUUGUUCUCUGUAUUGUUUUUGGAAACAAAGUACUCUGUAUUGUUCAUGUGCUGAACUUCGAGGUGGUAUAUACACCCCUCACGCACAUGGUGGACUUGUGGUGGUACGAUUGCAACUUCUUUUUGGAUGUGAUGAUAGGAUGACACCGUAGUAACUAGGAUGAACAUGCUCUGCCUUCAUGAUCAGGCAUGCUUAAGUUUCUUCUGUUCUGUGUGUAGUGUGUUCCUUUGCUUCUUGUUUGAACUGCUGCUCUUCUAUCAUGCUAGGCAAAGUGGUAUGUGGUGUAUAGAGGAAGGGUUCUAGGGGUUUACAGUUCAUGAAAAACAUAGCAAAAACAAGUGACCCAUUACACAGACAGCCCAUGCUUACUCCAAGUUUGUGCUCAAGAAGAAGAGCAAUAUUGAAGUAGGCAAUCCUCGUGGUCAGUUUGGGCUAUGUGGGAUGAAAAACUUUGUCAUCAUUGUCUCGUUCGUCGUCAUUGUAGUGUUAUUUUAAUGGUGUAGUCGGUGUCAUUGUGUGUAAGGUGAUGAUAAGUUAAGAAUACCUGACCGCAUGUAUGCAACCAAAUAUUAUGCAGUGCAUCAGCACAACCAUAAGUAAGCAACCGAACAUGGGGUUGGAAUUGGUGUUAUCAUGCAGGCGGGCAAUAUGGUUUUCAGCCUGCAUCUGCUCUGCUUGUCCCAGGUGAGACACAUAAGCAAGCACAUACGCAGGCAACAAAACCAUGCGCACAACAUGGUUUUCAGCCUGCAUCUGCUCUACCUGUCCCAGGUGAGACACAUAAGCAAGCAUAUAUGCAAGCAGGCAAUAUGCAGGGAACCAAACCAUGCGCACAACAUGGUUUUGAGCCUGCAUCUGCUCUGCCUGUCCCAGAUCAGACACAUAUGCAAGGGGGCAAAAAACAAUGCAGUCUACCAAACAAGCCCUUUUUGUGUGAGAAACUUUUAGUCUAUUCAUCUUCAAUCAUGGCAGUACAAAUAACACCAGAGGUAAUAAAAAUUACUACCAAGUCUGUGGACCACCUAGCGAUGACUACAAGACUGGAGCGAGCUAAAGGUGUGCUGUUGUCAUCGCCCCUCCCUUGCCGGAGCUGGUCAAACCUUCACAUGCCCUCCGACGAUACUAAACGCACCAUCGGGGUAGGGAUAGAAUGUGGGAGACAUUAUUCCUACUGAGAGACAUCGCCGCCAUCAUACAGCCUCAACCAAGACGUUGAACCUAACAAGAACGUGAACGGGGCCCUCCCGCCGGCGGGGGGCCGAGAUUCUCCGCACCUCCAUGGCCCAAAGGCCAUCGGAGACGAGCGGGGCCAACAAGAGGAGGAGGAAAGUUUNNNNNNNNNNNNNNNNNNNNNNNNNNNNNNNNNNNNNNNNNNNNNNNNNNNNNNNNNNNNNNNNNNNNNNNNNNNNNNNNNNNNNNNNNNNNNNNNNNNNNNNNNNNNNNNNNNNNNNNNNNNNNNNNNNNNNNNNNNNNNNNNNNNNNNNNNNNNNNNNNNNNNNNNNNNNNNNNNNNNNNNNNNNNNNNNNNNNNNNNNNNNNNNNNNNNNNNNNNNNNNNNNNNNNNNNNNNNNNNNNNNNNNNNNNNNNNNNNNNNNNNNNNNNNNNNNNNNNNNNNNNNNNNNNNNGUGUUGUGGCGAUUACCAAUGCCCUUUGAGGCUGAGGGGACAGCAAGAUUCGCCCGGCCGUAACAAAAGUUGCGUUUCAUGUACUAUCACAGGUGGGUAAUUUAUUUACUUUAUUUUUAAUAUACAUGGCGACGAUUUGUUAAUUUACAGUACCAAUGGUCGGAUGUUUCUCAUUAAUGUGUAGCCUAUAUUUUCAUUUUUCCUAGGUAUUGUGAUUUUUAGUAUAUGAUACAAAGAUAGAUAUAUAGCUAGAUAGGUAGAUAGGUAGACGGUACUUUUAGUGCAUGAUAAAUAGGUUAACUGGGAAUUUCAAGCAAAUAAAAACAUAUUUCCUAAAUGGUAAGGUAGUACUAACUAAUGACGUUCGAGGCUUAAUUACCUUGUUGAAGAGGGCACAAAUGGAGUGCUCUGCGGAGAACUGCUUCAGCUCCAGUAUCUCGUAAGUGUGGCCGAUGCACAAGCUUGCUAUUUCUGAUUCCUGCGUGGACACGAUGAUGCAGCUGCCAUUCUCCCUAUGAGGAAGAAACUUCCUGAUAGCAUGCCAUUCUACCAUGUUUGAGAGAUCUUCCAACACAACAAGAUACCUCUCCUGUGUGACCAGCUGCUCGAACUUUUUGAAGAGAUGUGCUUGAGACUGGGUGGCUUCAUCCAUCUUGGUUAGGAGUUGUACACAUAUGGUGGUUUCUCCUUGUUCCUCGAAAGAGUGUUCAAAGAACUGAGCCAUCAAGUUGCGGAUGAAGUCGUGUGGAUUGAAAGGAUGCAUGAGCUUCACCCAGGCCCGGUGGGUAUAGCUAUGGCAGAUCUCUGGGUCCUUGUAGGUCUUCAUCAUUAUAGAUAUCGCCCCUUGAUUGCCUGCUGACCCCCAUACCGAGAUCACUUGGAGGUCAUUACUGGGACGACCUUCCUGUGUGAUUAGCUGGGUGAGAUCCCCAAGGAAUUUCUGUCCUUUCGCCGCAUCCCUUGCCUUGAGGAGCAUGUCGAGUGCUAUUGCGCUGGAGGCUCCCUCUUGUUGCAUCAUGAUCAACUUGGAGCCAGCAGAGUCGGUGAUGUUACUGUAGCGGGAGUAACACUUGCUUAACUCCUCGGCCCUGCCCUUGAGCUCCGCUAACUCCUCGACGGCCUGGUCCAGUGGCAGCGAACAGUCUGCCAGUGCCAUGCAAGGCUGGAACAACCGGCGCCAGAAGAUUGGUUUGCUGUCAAGAUGAACUACAUUUUCAACACAGUCUUCGAGAUCGUAGGCCAGCUCCCGGACAUGCUUCACCCAGGUACCAACCAAAGUGUUCUUGACACUCUCCUCGUUGGCGACGUUGAGAAAGGACUGCAUCAUCUCGAACUCGAGAGUAAUGGACACGAGGUCACGCUGCGCCCUCUGCCGGAGCUUGGCGUCAUCUUCGAUCGCCGACUGGACCUUUGUCAGCGCCCCCUCGACCACCGAUUUGGACAAACCAACCACCAACUCCGCCAUGGCUCCACCUAGUUAGCUAUCCUUCUUCGUCCUUGGAUAGCUCAAGGGCAGGUGUUUGGUAGGUGUUUCUUCUUUCUUGUGUGGUGUGUGGUAGUUGUUUCUUCGUCUCAGUGGAGGCACAGAGUGGCCAGGAUGCGAACGAAACAAGCCCUUAUAAACGCGAAAAUGCUAAACCUACGUAAAGGGGUACGUAAGGUUACGUGACUUUCCAGCAGCGCAUUCUGGCCACGGGCCACCUACUGCAUGCGCUACAGACAAUGGUAGCUGGGUGUGUACGGCCAUGACCACUUGCUGCACUAUUUACUACUCCCUCUGUAAAUUAAUAUAUGAGCAUUUAGAUCAUCAAAAUGGUGAUCUAAACACUUACUUCCUCUGUCCAGAAAAUACUUAUAUGAGGAAUGAAUGUAUUUAGACGUAUUUUAAUUUCAUGUACAUUCAUUUUUAUGACAAGUAAUUUCGGACGGAGGGAGUAUACUAGUUUAUAGAGGGAGUAGUAUAUAUACACAUCGGUCAACAACAGUAACUGAUUGGUCUUUCCUUUGUGUGUUGUUCAAGAACGUGCCACCGGUAAUUCCUCUUGACUUGUUAUUUAAUUACAAAUAACUUAGCAGUAGUAGACUCUGCACUACUGGAAAAACUCUUUCAUGUUUGCUGAGUACCGAAACUCGGGAUAAUGGCAAAAGCUAUGUAAGACAAGUACGGCUCUCGACAAACAGCGGGACAUGACACAUGGGAGACGUUACCGAGCCCCCGGCUGAAUGUACUCGGCAAACAUGAAAGAAGUCACCGCCACCACCCAGGCGCCGCAGCCGUCACCACCCAAUUCCGGCCGCUAUGGUCGAACUGGCACAGGGCAAACGGACGAGGCCGGAUGCCGCCCUUUUGGCCGAUCUAAAUGGGUAAAAAGCUAGCCGAAACCGCGUCCGUUUGCGCAGGCCAGUUGGAGUUGUACUGAGAACGCUCACUUGAUCAUCCCAUCCCUGACGUACGUGUUGUGUUCGUAAUACUAUAAUACCUCCAACUACUACCUACUCCCUGACGUACAAUCAUUGCUAGGCAGAUGGUAUACGUACAGCAGUCAUCAACGCUCGUACAGGACGUACAAUCAUUGCUAGGCAGAUGGUAUACGUACAGCAGUCAUCAACGCUCGUACAGGACGUACAAUCAUUGCUAGGCGGAUGGUGGGAGGGGUCGCCAUCUCUUUCGCUGGCGCAGCCUAUCGAGCAGGGGGUGGAGGUGGGAGCUUGAGGUCGCCGUCGCCUUGAAUGCAGGGACCAACGCCCUAUCUUCAUCUGCUCAUUCGCCGUCGAAGGCGUUCACACACAUUCACAGCGGAGGGUACGACGCAACCUGCUGUCGAGCAGGGGUUGGGGAAGGUGGCUUGAAGUCCCAGUUCGCUUUGAGUGCAAGGACCGACGUCCCAUCUGCUCCUUUGCUGGUCGGCAGCGUUCACACAUUCACAGUGGAGCGUACGAUGCAACCUGUAGAGCAGGGUCGGGGAAGGGGGCUUGAGGGCCCAGACUGGCCGAAUCGUCUUCAAUUCCAUGUGAUUCUUCGCCGGCGGGCGGCGGCAUUCAUGGCGGAGUACGACGGCGGGUGGACGGAGUCUGUCAGACCGGACGCUACUAGCUAGGCUUCUCGAGACGGAAGGGUAAGUUUGAUAACACUAGACCAGACCCACUCUUUAUCCAUAUAUUUUAUGACUAUGGAUACCUAUUAUUCAUGGGUAUAAUUUCUUACCAAAUCUUGCCCAUGCUCACUCCUUUUGGGUAGGGUGUCGAAUACCCAUGGACAAAACUGCCAUCCUUAUAACAACUGCUCGUAUUACUACAUGCAUACACUCACUGCUAUCAACGCACAAACACAUACAUUAUCCCUUUUGGUAACCUCCAAGAGAGCUGAGUCGGCGGAUAUUGAUAUUAACAAAGUCACCACAACGAUCUCUUGCCGCUUCUCAAUAUUCCACCUUUAUGAGACAUACAAAUUCAGUUUAAAACAAGUGUAGCCCAAAUUUCUGAGAAGUUCUUCUAAAUUUUCCGGUCCAAGUUAUGUCCUUUAGACUGGAGUUAUUAUGCAGAAAUGUAUAAAUAGGGGAAACUUAGAAGUAGGAAUAAGAACAUUGUCUAAAAAAAGACAUGAAGUAGGAUAAGAAUGCAGGAUAAAAUGACAGAAUGAGCACAUCAUUUUGUCAUUAUUAUAUAAAUCUAGAUGUCUAGAACAAGAAAGACAUGCAAAUUUUACUAGACGCAUUGCCUCAUUCGGUUUGGAGGAUUUUCAUAGGAAAAGCAUAGAACAAGGAUUUUAGAGGAAAAUUUCCUAUAGAUGCAUUCGGUUUGUAGGAAAGGCGUAUAUGAAUAUCGUAGGAAUACCACUCAUUUCCUAUGUUUUUGGAGGAAACUAGACAUCCACUCAAAGCAUAUUUUAUGCGUAGGAACGAGGCAAGUCAAUUCCAUAGGAUGGCAAGUGCCAUCCUAUCAAAUUCCUACUAAUCCUAAUUCCUACGUUUUAGUUUCCUCCAAACCAAAUGAGCCCUGAAUCAAAUUUGGAACACACAUGGUACAAAAUGUAGACAUUAGCAUGAAAGAGAUCCGUCUCCUCCAGCCACCGUCGCCGUCGUUGCGCCAUCGGUACUGAUUGAUGGCUGAAGCUGGGGAGGUCAUGGGCGAGGAAAAAACAAGGGUAACAGACGUGAGGUGUAAGGCCCCGGCCAGAACCACUGGUUCGCGAUCGUUACCCCUGGCGGGAUAUAGACCGACCGCGCGCAUAGACCAACACUGGUAUUGGUUUAACUUUAAGGUUCCUUACGGAUGAGCUCCAAAAAAGAAGAAGAAAUUUCUUGUUGAUAUUUAUAGUCUAUCAUUUCCAAUUAAACCAGGCUGUCACNNNNNNNNNNNNNNNNNNNNNNNNNNNNNNNNNNNNNNNNNNNNNNNNNNNNNNNNNNNNNNNNNNNNNNNNNNNNNNNNNNNNNNNNNNNNNNNNNNNNNNNNNNNNNNNNNNNNNNNNNNNNNNNNNNNNNNNNNNNNNNNNNNNNNNNNNNNNNNNNNNNNNNNNNNNNNNNNNNNNNNNNNNNNNNNNNNNNNNNNNNNNNNNNNNNNNNNNNNNNNNNNNNNNNNNNNNNNNNNNNNNNNNNNNNNNNNNNNNNNNNNNNNNNNNNNNNNNNNNNNNNNNNNNNNNNNNNNNNNNNNNNNNNNNNNNNNNNNNNNNNNNNNNNNNNNNNNNNNNNNNNNNNNNNNNNNNNNNNNNNNNNNNNNNNNNNNNNNNNNNNNNNNNNNNNNNNNNNNNNNNNNNNNNNNNNNNNNNNNNNNNNNNNNNNNNNNNNNNNNNNNNNNNNNNNNNNNNNNNNNNNNNNNNNNACUUCGGCUGUGGAUACCAGGGGCCUCCCCCACCCUUGGUGAACCCGCGACAGUUCCCUAGUCCAUUUCCGCGACAAUAGCACUUGGUUGGGGUGUCAUCGCCCCUGGUUUGACGGCCCGCCGUUAGCUCGGGUGCAGAUGUUGGGUCCUCAGGACUAAGGGAGCGGCUUUACAAAUAUAUUUAAGCAAUGUAAAGAAAAUCAUGCAACUCAAAAAAUGUUUUGUAUGAAAAAAGUACAAUGUGUAUGAAAAACUAGACAUCAAUAUAUAGUUGAAAAAAAUGUUAAUCAUGUAUACGAAAAAUGUCAAACAUGCAAUGUGUAUGAAAAUCUAGACAUCAAUAUAUAGUUGGAAAAAAAUGUUAAUCGUGUAUAUGAAAAAUGUCAAACAUGCGUAAAAAAAUAUUUGGGAUAUAUACAAAAAUGUGGACGAAACAAUUUGUCAUCAAAAUUUUAUUAAUAUAUUAAUAUUUUAUUUAAAAAAGUUAAAUGUGUAUGAAAAUGUUUUUGAUGUACACAAAAAUGUGCAAUGUGUGUGAAAAAAGGGUAGACAUGUGUGGAAAAGAGGAAAAUAAAAUAAAAUAAACAAACAAAGAAAACCAAUGAAGCUCGAGAAAGAAACAAGGAUAACCGAUGAAAAUCAAGAAAAUGAAAAUAAAAAAGAAGAAGCCCGAUGCAAAACAGUGAAAAUGUUAAAAAUCACAUCCCUCGGAAAUAUUAGUAUGUGAUGCAAUUAAGAUCUUGCCGAAUAUUAGUAUGUGAUGCAAUUAAUAUAUUGUCUAAUAUUCCCUCGGAAAAGAUAUUGCCUAAUAUCAACUUGCCUUGCACGUACAUAAUUAGUAGUUGAGCAAUGGAAUCGGGACAAACGUCCCUGUUUUUGUAAAAAAUAAAUUUAGGGCCAAAAGUUUUAUAUAUAUUUUGUUUUUCCAUAAAAAGGAAGAAACAGAGAGAGAGAGAGAGAGAGAGAGAGAGAGAGAGAGAGAUGCUCUUUUGAAUGAAAGGACUGGCUACUGCUGGAGUUCAGCGGUGGAAGAGGCUUCAUAGUCAAGAACAGGAAGAAAAGGCUAUGGUGCAGUCUAUGUGUGUUAAACAUGCAGUUUUUGGAGUGCCCACCCCACCGAACAGCGGUAGCGAGCUCUUCAGCCGCAAGGCGGCCUUUGCAGCCAUGCUUGAGAGCACGGCGGGCAGCAAGAAGCGCUUUCAAGAUGACCAAGACCUUAUCCUCAGCAUGAACACCACUAGUACUGAUAGCCUAGAGGGUAGGGGUGAUAUAGAUAUGAGUGUAUCUUGUAAAAGAGUGUGUCGGGAGAGUUGAAACUGUAGUAGGCUUAGAUGGGUCUACUGUGCAUGUAACAGAGGAACUAGAUGGGGGAGAGGAGGUGGCUCAGGUUAGAAGGAGAGAAUCUGUAGGGGAUGAGAGAGAUGGAGAGGACAAUGCUAAGGAAGCUACCGGCAAUGGGGCUGUCGGUCAACUGACGGGCGCGCUGGAUGAUGCUCGUCAGGAGUCAUGAAAAUGAUAUGUUGGAACUGCCGACGGUUGGGUCGACCUUGGACAGUCCAAGAGCUUGUGUGUCUCACAAAGACGCAUCGACCCAAUGUUAUCUUUCUUUCUGAAACAAGGCAAAAUAAAGAAUAUGUUGUGAGUUUGCGUUAUCGGUUAUGUAUGAAAAAUGUUUUUACUGUUUCUAUGCCAGGCAAAGGAGGUGGACUAGCGGUCUUUUGGGAUGAUCUGUACACGUUGGAGUUGAACAAAUAUGGAGAACACUUCAUUGACAUGUACAUUUAUAAUGGUGCUGGAAGUAAAUGGAGAAGCACUUUUGUCUAUGGGGAACCAAAGGUAUGUAAUGUGGGAGUUAUUAAGGCGAAUUAAACCGCUUGGGUCUGGGUCGUGGUUUAUGGUUGGUGAUUUUAAUGAGGCAAUGUGGCAGAAUGAACACUUCUCUCGGAUCAAGGGAUCCCAUAAACUCAUGGAUAAUUUUCGUGAGGUUCUCUCUGAUUGCAACUUAUUUGAUUUAGGUUUUCAUGGAAUUCCUUGGACUUACAAUAAUAAGCAGGAAGGCAAUAAAAAUGUCAAGGUUCGGCUUGAUCGAGCGGUUGCCUGCCCCCAAUGGUCUUCUAUAUAUCCUGAUUGCAAGGUUACUCACAUUAUCAGCUCCAGAUCUGAUCAUUGUCCUAUUCUUAUUGAAUUGAUGGGUGCCCCUCGCUCAGGUACAAUUUUUAAGCAGUUGAAAUAUGAAGCAUACUGGGAGAGGGAGGAAGCGGAGUUGAAAGUGCAGAUUGAAUCAUGUUGGAAUAAGAGCAGGUACGUUAAUGAUCUGGGAGAUGUGGCAAAUAACCUGGACAAGUUGAUGAAGUCUCUUCACGGAUGGAGUAAGGUUCACAUUGGAUAUUUGCCAAAAAAGCUUGAAUCUGCUCGUAAAAGAUUAAAUGUGCUUUUCAAGAGGAAUGACCAUAAUGCAAGGGAGGAGAGGAAGAAAAUUCUAACUGAGAUGGAUGAGCUCCUAAUUAAGGAAGAAAUUAUGUGGAAGCAGAGAUCAUGUUUGGACAAAAUGAGAUGGGGGGGUAGGAAUACAAAUUUUUUCCAUAGGAAGGCUACAUGGAGAGCGAAGAAGAAUAAUAUUUCUGCAAUUAAAAGAAGUGAUGGAUCUCUAUCUCAUGAUUUGGAUGAAAUCAAAGGUAUUGCUAAUUCGUUUUUCAAGAACCUUUACUCUUGUGAUACUAUGGUUAACCCAUCUCGUAUUAUUCCACUUGUGAAACCAUUGGUGAAUGAUGAAAUGAAUGAGGAACUAUGCAAAGCAUUUUCGGAGCAAGAAAUUAGUGACACUCUCUUCCAAAUUGGUCCUUUGAAGUCACCGGGGCCGGAUGGAUUUCCUGCUAGUUUCUUCGAGAGGAACUGGGGUUUGUUAAAAGAAGACAUUGUUCGUGCUGUCCAGCAAUUCUUUUUCUCAGGAAAAAUGCCCGAAGGGAUAAAUGAUACUACCAUUGUCCUUAUUCCUAAAGUGAAGAAUCCCGAGUCGAUGAAGGAUUUUCGGCCAAUAAGCCUAUGCAAUGUCAUAUAUAAAAUUAUCUCCAAGUGUCUCGUAAAUAGAAUGAGACCCCUUUUGGAUGGUAUGAUUUCUCCUACCCAAAGUGCCUUCAUUCCUGGAAGAUUAAUUUUAGAUAAUGCUCUCAUCGCGUUUGAAUGUAUGCAUUCGCUGAAUAAUCUCAAAGAUAGUCGUGGCGAAUACUAUGCAUAUAAGUUGGAUUUGGCAAAAGCUUAUGAUCGUGUGGAUUGGAAGUUCCUAGAAAAUAUGCUUCGAGCGUAUGGCUUUGCACCAACCUGGAUAAAGUGGAUUAUGACAUGUGUUACAUCAGUAAAAUUUUCUGUGCGCUUUAAUGGCCAGCUGCUGGAGUCUUUUCAUCCCUCGCGUGGGCUUAGGCAAGGGGAUCCAUUAUCGCCGUACUUAUUCCUUUUUGUGGCUGCAGCCCUUUCUUUGCUUCUAAAUGAUGCAUCGGCAAGAGGGGUGAUCCAAGAUUUCCGGUUGAACAGAUAUGCUCCAGGUAUCUCUCAUUUAUUAUUUGCUGAUGAUAGUCUCCUGUUCUUUAAGGGUUCGGUGGAGCAAGUCUUGGCUGUUAAAGGAAUUUUGACGUCUUAUGAGGAGGGUACAUGCCAAUUGUUAAGUCCAGAAAAAUGUUCCAUUUUAUUUGGGAAAAAAUGCUCGCUCGAAGAUCAGGUGGCCAUAUUGGUCAUCCUUCAGAUCACGAGUGAAGGAUUUGAGGAUAAAUAUCUAGGUUUACCAGUACCAGAAAGUCGCAUGAAGGUGGGCAAAUUCCAAUCUAGCUACCAAAGAUAAAGCACUUAAGCGGGUGACCGACUAGGUCAAAAAAUAUGCUUCUAGCGUGGUGAAGGAAAUCCAGAUCAAGUCUGUUAUUCAGGCCAUACCGGUCUAUGCCAUGGGUAUAUUUAAAUUUCCCAUGUCCCUCUGUGAUGAGUUAUCCCAGAUUAUCAGGAACUUCUGGUGGGGUGAUGAGGAAAAUAGAAGGAGAACUCAUUGGCUAGCUUGGGAUAAGAUGACAAGACCAAAAAGUGAAGGAGGUAUGGGCUUUUUGUGAUCUCAGACUAUUUAAUCAAGCACUUUUGGCAAAACAAGUGUGAAGGUUAUUGGUUUUUCCGGACUCGUUGUGUGCUGAAGUGAUGAAAGCAAAAUAUUACCCUCAUGGGCAUCUUAUUGACACUGUUUUCCCUCAAUCGAUAUCACUUCCGUGGCAAGGUAUUAUGCAUGGCCUCGAAUUAUUGAAACAAGGUGUAAUCUGGAGAGUUGUAGAUGGGACCAGUAUAAACAUAUGGAGAGAUAAUUGGAUCCCUAGGGAGUCUGGCCUAAAGAUCACCGCUAAGAAAAAUAGAACAAGGAUUAAAUGGGUGUCCGAGUUAUUCAUGACAGAUUCUAGGAGGUGGGAUGAGAAUUUGAUCAGGCACUUAUUUUAUCCUCAUGAUGCAGAUGAAGUCUUAAAGCUACGUGCUCUGGAUUUGGGGGAGGGGGACCUUAUUGCUUGGCAUCAUGAGAAAAGUGGCAUAUUUUCUGUGAAGAGUGUGUAUAGGCUCGCAUUGAAUAUCAGGGACUCAACAGAUAGUCUGGGAAAUUCUAGUGGAGAAGUUAAUGGAGAGAGGAGGAUCUGGAAUAUUAUCUGGAGAGCUAAUGUUCCUCAGAAGAUUAGAUUUUUUUCCUGGCGAGUUGCUUCAAACAGUUUGGCAGUUCAAGUUAACAGAGUUAAGCAUCAUCAAACCAUCAUGAGUACGUGUACAAUCUGUGGUGUGGAGGAUGAAUGCACUUUUCAUGCCUUGGUGAGUUUCCCAAAGGCUCGUGCAUUCCGGAUGGCUUUGAGAGAGGUGUGGAAUUUACCACCCGAAGGGAUUUUCAAAAAUACGGGGCUAGAUUGGCUCCUUAUUUUACUGGAUCAAUUAAACCCGUUGGCGCGUGAGCAAACUAUAUUCAUGUUGUGGAGAGCUUGGCAUUUACGAAAUGAUCUGAUUUUUGGUGAAGGUAAAGAACCCGUCUCAGCUUUUGUGAAUUUUGCACAAAAUUACUGGGCUUCCUUUUCUUCUUGCCAUGCAAAACCGCAGGGAGUGAUAAGUAACAAAGGCAAGGAACUGGGGGAUGACAUUCGGGCUUUGAAUAAUAUGGAGAGGAGUUCUGUUGGUUGGCAACCUCCCAAUGAGGAGUGCUUUAAGAUUAAUGUAGAUGCAAGUUUUGUGGAGGCAAUCAACGCUGCGAGUGUGGGGGUGGUUGUCAGAAAUCACUGUGGAGAAAUUGUCAUCUCCUCUUGGGAUUAUAUUGGAGCUUGCUAUAGCGCUGAGGAAGCGGAACUGCGAGCGGCACUCUUCGGAUUAUAUAUCGGUAUUACCCUUCAUAAAUCCAUCAUUUUAGAAACUGGCCGUUCUUUUGUGGUCGGUGCUCUUGGAAAUGACAAUUGUGACAGAUCCCCCCUUGUUGACCUAAAGAAACAAGUUUUGAGUAUUUCUAAGAUGCUGGCGAAUGUUAAGAUUUUCAAGAUUAGCAGAAAAGUUAAUAUGGUGGCGCACGAGUUAGCUAAGUUCAGUUUUAAUAAUAGAUGUGAUGGUGCUCUUAUUGAUAGUGUUCCGGUCUGUGUGGCUGAUGCUGUAACGAAUGAUUGUAUGAACAUUCUAUUUUAAUUAAUAUAUGGGUUGGGUUUUCAAAAAGAAAAUUCUAGAAGGACAAAGCAGAAAAAAACAUGGGUUGACUAGAUUGGGAAUUCGUGCUGAAAGUUAUUGAAUGCUAGAGUUGGGCAACCGUGAAAUCGUGUCCAAUUCGAGAUGGCUUGAAUUUUUUGGUCCACCGUUCUUAUUCUUCUCCCUUAUCUUCAUGGUGGCUGCGAUAACACUCGCCUUGCAUAUUCGCUUAAGUAAGUUGAUUUUUAUACACCUAUCCGUAGUGAACAACAUUUGGCUUGAAUUCAGAUGAGACGUUCGGCCUCACCUGCCUUUGCUACAGGGUCUGGGAUUACUCACUAGUCACUAGCAGAGAACCUGAAAGCUGAAUUUGUAACCUUACAUGAUGCAUCCGGAGGAUCCCCUCGCAUAAGAUUUGCCGAAAACUCUGCGUCCUGUAACCUUACAUUUUCUCAGACGAUCCCUUCCGGUUUGGUUUUGUUCGUCGAUCUUUAGCUUUCAAUACAGAUGAGCAUUAUCCUUAUUGUUGCCGUACUAGAGUGUUAUUGUGCUGCUCCUCAGGACGUACUAGUACUACUAGCUAGAGGACUGAACCAUGAGAACAAUCAACGAUGUACUCCUUCCGUUUCAAAAUAGAUGACUAAACUUUGUACUAACAAUAGUACAAAGUUAAUACAAAGUUGGGUCAUCUAUUUUGGAACGGAGGGAGUAUGAACUUAGGAGAUCUAAAUUUAUGUUGUCCGUGUCAGUGAAUCUAUGCUGAAUAUUAUGUUCAUUGACUGCACUAGGAAUGGCGAGCAUGGGACUGCAGAAGAACAGGGGACAGGGCCAGCAUUACCAGGUCCUGUGGAUGCACCCGAGGAUGCUUCCAAGGAGAAUGUUAGCCCCACUAAGGAAUCUGAUGAGGCUGAAGACAAUGGGUAAGUAAUUGAACAGACAACUUUUACGUACUAGCAUUUUUAGUGCCUUCUGUAUUUUACAUAUAUCUUCUGGCUGUGUCCCUUUAUAGUAUUAUUUUAGUGAAAUCUCCAUUUGUACCUGACUGGAAACCUGAAGUCGUUCCAGUUCUUACAUUCAUCAGCCUUGUCAUUCUGGUAAAAGCUGAAUUGAUUUACUUACACAGCAAUGCCUGCCCAUGUAUAAUCAAUGUACAUGCUAGAUUGUUAAGAGAGCACUUCCUGGCUUCUGUUAAGCAUUCAUUGGACUGCCGAUUAUAAAAUCAUAAAUUGUUAGUGUCGGAUGUCCUGAUUGUGUACAAGUAUAUGCAAACCUUUCGUCCGCGGUGUAGGCUGAUUUGUUGAAAAAUCAGACCAUGGUGUGAAAUGUUUACGGGAUCAAUUGAUGACGUAUAGCAUACUUGACUCUUUACUGGUGGGUGUAUCAUUGUUCACAAGUAUAUGCAAUCUUUCUGAUUCAGGGAGGUACCACUGAAGUUCAGAAACUACCUUCCUCAUGAUGAGCGACUUCGAGGCGGUAAGGUGGCUCCUCUGUCUCUUCCCAAGUUUGAAGAUCCAAUCGCUGCUGAUGCUGCUGAGCCAAAGCAGCUCGAGGUAACAUUAAACCCAACCGUAGUGAUACUUUUACAUCUUUGCAUCUUUCAUGAGGCUAACUCACCAAUAUUUAUCUGCAGAACCCUUUUGGGAACAUUGCUCCAAAGAACCCAAACUGGGAUCUGAAACGGGACGUGCAGAAGAGGAUCGACAAGCUGGAGAAGCGCACGCAGAAAGCUCUGGCUGAGAUCGCAUGUGAGUAACUGAUAGAUGUGUUUGGUUCCGUUUGUUUCACAGUUUGCUUGUCGUGUGUUUCCUUACUCAUGAUGAACUACCUUGCUCCUGCAGUGGAGCAGCAAAAGGAGAAAGAGGCGCUGGAAGAAGGAAGCGAUGCAGCUCAGGAGUGAAGUGAUACUGAUGGUGUUCCGAAUCUUUGCUUUGCAUAGCACAGAGGAAGCAGCCGAAGCAAAAUCUUGGCGUGUUUGUAAUGUCCGAGGACUGAAUAUGAACUUACAAAGUAAUGUAGGGAAAUUGUGUACUUGUGCUAACAUGAUCCAUGGAUAACUUUUGCAAUCAGUAUCCAUACAAUUUGGAGUUCUGCUGAUGGUUAGUACUCGAAUUAAACAUGUUUUGUCUCACGAAUUUGGAUGCUAGCUAGUCAUGACUUGCCUCAUGGAUCGGUCUCAUUGGGCGGAUAAUGAAUGUUGCUGGGUGUCCUUCAGUUAUUGGCACGUAGAGGCUUUGGCUUUGUUGGACAUCUCACAUCUGACUUGCUGGACGCAUACCAAGGAGCAACAGUAAUGUGAGGUGAGAUCACGAACAAUAACUACAGUACUUAUGAUCAACCAGGUCCUUCUUAUUGACAAAUUAUAAACUAGACAUAUUGACAACCUUCCAUAUUUGGUUUAUACCAACAAUCAAAACGCAGAUCAAAAUAGCUUCCCUUCUUCUAGGGAAAAUGUUGCAGCAAGCUGUUUUUGAGGCUGAGGCAACUUUCCUGUAUGAAUGUUCAAUUAUCCGCCGUAACAUGCACGAUGAAUCCAAAUUUAAACUAAACAACAUUUCAAAGGAAACAUAAAGAUGGGCAUAAUUUGAAUAUAUUUUUAGUGGUAACUCCAACCAACACAUGUAUGAUAGUCCUGCGAACUGCACAUCAAUUAAACACAUAUCACAAUGGAGUUAACCAACAUAACCCAUGUACAAAAGCUUUGAAGAAACCAACAAGGAAUAACAAAGAGGACUGGGUAGAGCUGGUAGGAUAGUAGAUAGAGGAACACUUGGGAAAAUAAACAAAGACAAUGAUACUUCAGGACGAGUGUGGUGGUUCCUCCAGCUCCACAACAGGUUUCACCAAGUUUGGAUGCUCGGCAAGCUGGCUUUCAAGUUGUUCCUUCAGUGCUUGAGCGUUGGAACCGUUCACUAGCAAGACUUGCUUGAGUUCUUCUAGGUUCUCCAGGCUAGAGAACUGAUAUGUCGGCGAUCCACCGCAGCAGUCAACCUUGAGCAGCUCGAGUUUCUUCAUUGUUUCUGAUCCAAAUUUCACAUGUAAGCUGCUGGAGCUGCCACCAGAAGCAAUAUGGAGGACCUUGACCUUUUCAAAUGAGUGGUCCUCAAGUCCAUUCCUAAUGACAUGGAAAUGAAGCUCGCCAUCUUGAAGCUGCUUGACCCGAAGAAUACAUAGCUGUGGCAGCUCGCCAAGGAGCGUCAUGUCAUUUUCUGUUAAACUGUCCAUCUCCAAAUCCAAUUUUUGGAGCUUGCUAAGCUGGCCGCUCCCCUCUGGCAACUUGUUACCGAGUCCAUACAAUUUAAGGCUCCGCAGGUUCUUCAGAGGCAGGAGGAUAUCAUCCAAGCAGCCUUCAAUGUCCAUCUGCACUGACAAGGAGUCCAGAUGCACAUGAACCGAGAUUGCAGAGAAGAAGUCUUUGCUAUGUUUGUUGAUGCCGGACACUCCGAGCUUCCGCAACUGGCUGAGCUUCUUGAUCUCUUUUAUGGCAGCCCUCCCCCCUGAAGCAGCGACAUUGACAACACCGAGCGUGUGCAGCCCUGUCAGAUUCCCAAUUUCCCCGGGCACUUGAACACCAACUAGUUGACGGCACUUGCAGAAAUCGGGCAACCAGCAGGAUGAAGCAGGUAGUGCUGAGACGGUGGUGCCACGGCCGGCACGAAUGUACUGCAACUUCUUUAACUUGGUGAUGCUCGCAGGCAGAGUCACUAUGGAGGUGUCCCUGACGUCCAAGGUCUGGAGCUGCCUGAGAUCCCCUAAUGAACUUGGUAGAUGAUCGAUCUCAGUAUGCCCUCGGAGAGAGAGGAACUUGAGGCGACACAGCCGUUUCACUACCUUCUUGAGAUCGCCAGCCGUUAUAUCUGAUGUUGCAUCCUCCAGAUCAAGGACCCGAAGCAGCUUCAUACGCUCAGAUAUGAAGAAUGAUUUCCACUUCCCAAACACUGUGAGUGAUCGCAGCCGUGAGAAGUCGAUGUUCUCAAAUACAAUUCUGUCUCUGUCCCAGUCGUCCAAUAUGACGAGGUGACGCCCUGUGCGCUGGGUGGUUAAUGCACAAUUACCCCCCAGCUCAAACACAAGGUUUUCUUCUUUCCGCAGCGGGAUGAUGUACUCACGGAUGAAACUGUUGAACUUGCACAAGGCCAUCUUUCUGUCAUUGAAUUCUGCGGUGGUGACUAGCUGUGGUACCUGCUGUAUCAUGCUCAGAUCAAGGAGGUCAGAGAAUUGCCGCUCUCCGUUCUCCUCUGCAGAUUCUUCAUUGUCUUCCCUGGAGUAGCUCUCUGCAAUCCAGCGCCUUAUUAGUCGCCUCCGCCUUAUGAUCUGGCCUUGAGGAAAAAUUGACAUGUAGAAGAUACACGGCUUGAGAGAAUCUGGGCAGGUACGGAAGUAGGAAUGCAUCCAACCAAAUAAAUCGUGUAGACUAUCAUAGUCCGGCUCGGUCUCCAGGUGGUGCAUAAGUCUCCGAUUCAAAGCAAGAAUUGUAUCCAUCCGUGUGACUGUCUGUUUGGCCAGUGCACAUGCUAUAGCAACUAUCACUUUGGGAAGGCCUCCACACUUCAAAAUUAGUUCUUUAACCUCCUCAGCUUCACACCAAUCUACUACAGAGGAUGAUGGAUCUGCCGAUGGUGUAUCCAGCUUGAGUGAGGAUGAUGGAUCCGCCGAUGGUGUAUCCAGGUUGAGUGAGGAUGACGGAUCCGCCGAUGGUGUAUCCAGCUUGAGCGAGGAUGAUGGAUCCUCCGAUGGUGUAUCUAGCUUGAGUGAGGAUGAUGGAUCCCCCGAUGGUGUAUCCAGCUUGAGCGAGGAUGAUGGAUCCUCCGAUGGUGUAUCUAGCUUGAGUGAGGAUGAUGGAUCCCCCGAUGGUGUAUCCAGCUUGAGUGAGGAUGAUGGAUCCCUCAAUGGUGUAUCCAGCUUGAGUGAGGAUGAUGGAUCCGCUGAUGGUGUCUCCAGCUUGAGUGAGGUCUUGCGUACCUAUAAUUCCAACAAUUUUGGAUUAACAUGGAGUGGAUUUGAUAUUUAAGCUAUAAAGUGAGUUAUCUACAAAAUACAUGGCACGUGCAUGGUAAUUCAUAAAUUAAUUUUACUAUUCAUUAUAUGAAUACAAAGUUAUAAAUGCUAAUAUUCUAGGGACAUUGACAUUGUCUCCCUGACAUUGCUUACCAACUUCAUAGUAAGUCGCUUAAAAUCUAAUGAAAUAGAGACAAUAUUAAUUUCUAUUGUCAUUGUUGUCCACAGUCAGUCAAAGAUUCAAUGGAUAUCAUAUUCCUAUGUACUCCUACUACUCUCAUUAUCCCCAAGUUAUACAUGUACUACUCUUGCUAUGUACGGAAAUAUUAGGAAAACUAUAAAAUGUGGUGCUACUUUCUUGUACCAUCGCUCGGCGUAAUUAUAGAAGGUGCAACACAAUGAGCCGAUGGAGCUUGGGGCAAAGAAGUUCGUGUGGAUUACUAGGGAGUUUAUGUUCUGGUCUGGACAACAUGUUGGUGAUUUUAUUCUGUAAAGAGUGGAUUUUAUCGACUCAAAAUGAAGUAUCAAGGGGAUACAAACACAUUGAGCAUACACCGAGCCCCUGCAAAACUAAGAUGCCCAUAGUCAACAUCAACGCACACACAAAAAAUCAUGCUGGCAAAGAGCAAACUCAUUCAAGACUGAAGUCAUUCCUAGGCAGAUGGAAAAGAAGAAAGAAAACUCUCAAGCAAUCAAAAUAGCUGUGGACAAACUACAACAACCAUCCGCCCCAACAUUCUCUUGACAUCACAAGGACAAUGGAAGAAGUUCUCCAGUAGCAAUGCCUCCAGGAAGGGAACGAUGCUCAAGCGCCGUCAUCGCCGGAUCCAACCAUCGAAGCCGGAUCAUGGGUUUUCAUCCGGAAUAUCAAGUCUUAGUAAACUCCAAACCAUGCCUUCAAGAAGGUAACAACGCCGAAACGCCGCCAUUGCUUGAUAUAACCAAUUAGGGUCAGGCCUAGGGUUUUCAUCCUGGAGCUCAAGACCGGGACUUGAGAAGCACCACCAUAUCAAAGUCAGCCUGUGUUGUCACCUCCACUUUCCAGAAAUCCCGGUGGCGGCCAUCAGGGUGAUAGACUUAUGAGUAUUUAGAGUAGUCUUGUUUAGCAUGAUUUGUCUCGUUUUUGUCCAUGUUUGUGUUAUUGCCAUGAUCUUGCCCGCCCUUUGGCAAGAUCAAAAUUUCAUUUCUUUAUAAUGAACAAUAUAACAAGGUUUGCCAUAUAUAUGCAUCUAAGGAUUUUCGGGCCAGAUGUAAUAAAAUCCUAUAUUUUCUAGAAAAAAGAAGGAAUAUGUGAGGAUGGCAAAAACGGCAACUAUAGACAUGCAUAUUGCAAAUCACAAAUGAUUAUGUUUUACAAAGAAUUUUAGUGCAAAUGUUGUAUCCAGUAGAACAUCUAAGAAUGUUGUUCCAUAGAAUUUGAAAUGAAUAUGUAGUGAGUAAUGUCUUUAGGCUGCCAAAAUCAAGCGGGCCAAAACAACUCAUGCAUGUGGUUUCGUAUUGCGAAAAAAAACGCCUGCACCGAAUUAGGUAUCAUCAGAAAUCAUACCUCCUGUUUGAAGAGAUCAAAGGCUGCAGCAGCUUCUAGACCUUUGACAUUGAACACGAGCUGUCUGUUAUUUGCACAGUAUGUGGCUAUACUUGCUUCAGUUGUAAUGACAAUGAUAACACUCUUAGAGGAUCUAGGUACCAUGGAUUUUUUUAUCAAAUCCCAUUCCUUUUUGUAGCGUAUACCAUCAAUAACAAUGAGACAACGGUCUUGUAUUAGAAGCUGGUGACACUCUUUAAUGGGAUCUUUUUCUGAGUGAAAAUCCGAAAGUAAAUCCUGACAGAAGUACUUCAAAUUGAAUGGAUGAGAUACAUUCACCCAACAAUACCUAUUAAAUAGUUUCUCUUCAGGUUGCUUUGUGUCAUCAAUAUUGCACAAGUCUCUGACGAGGGCUGACUUCCCCACACCUGCUAUCCCCCAGACAGACAUAACUUGGGAAGAUGACAUACGUGCAAUUGCUGGAUAUUUACGAAGUUCAUUCAUUUGUGACUCACGUCCAAUGAGGAUUGAACCCUGCACCAUUGGUUUCUUGCCUUUAUCUUCAUCGCCACUACUAGAACCCUGUACAUUUAUAUUUGUUGGGAAAGGUGUUAACACGCAAGGACCAAUUAGAGAGUGGAAAGGUACACAUCUAAUACUCCCUCCAAUCCAUAUUCAUUGUCGCUGAUUUGUACUAAAUCCGCAACAAAUAAUAUGGAUCGGAAGAAGUAAGUAAUUACUCGGGUGGUUUAAGAUAUCAUGCCAUUCUUUAUAAAUAGAAUAAUGGAUGGGCGAUGGUUUGCAAAAGAGAGACCUACUGUGCCAUUGACCAAAACAAGGAGUAACACAAAAUUGAAAGGUAAUUUGAAACACUGAUAUGUUUCAGGCUUGCGUACCUUCUUGAAGAGGGCACAAACAGAGUGCUCGGGUGAGAAGUGCAUCAACUCCAAUAUCUGGUAAGAAUCGCCAAUGCACAAGCAUGCCAUUUCUGACUCCUUUGUGGACACAAUGAUGCGGCUGCCGUUCUUACUGUGAGGAAGAAAGGUCCUGACAGCAUGCCACUCUGCCAUGUUUGAGAGAUCUUCCAAGACAACGAGGUACCUCUUCUCUGUAACCAGCUGCUCGAACUCCUUGCGGAGAUCUGAUUGAGAUUGGGUGGCCUGAUCCAUCUUGGUUAGGACUUGUACACCUAUGGUGCUUGCUCUUUGUUCUUUGAAACAGCUUUCGAAGAACUGAGCCAUCAAGUUGCGGACGAAGUCAUGUGGAUUGAACGGACGCAUGAGCUUCACCCAGGCCCUGUAGGUGUAGCUAUUGCGGAUCUCUGAGGCAUUGUAGGUCGUCAUGAUGACAGAUGUGGUCCCAUGGUUGCCUUCUGAUCCCCACACCGAGAUAACUUGGAGGUCACCAUUGGGAUGACCAUUUUGAGUGAUCAGCUGGGUGAGAUCCCCUGUGCAUUUCUGCCCAUCCGCGGCAUCCCUUGCCUUGAGGAGCAUAUCGAGUGCUAUUGCGCUGGAGACUCCUUGUUGUUUCUGCAUCAUGACCAACUUGGAGGCAACAGAGCCGGUGAUGUUGCUGUAGCGCAAGUAACACUUGCUCAACUCGUCAGCUCUGCCCUUGAGCUCUGCUAAAUCCUCGACGGCCUGGUCCAGUGGCAGCGACCGGCCUGCCAGUGCCAUGCAAGGCUUGAACAACCGGCGCCAGAAUAUUCGCUUGCUAUCCAAAUGGAUAACGAACUCGAUGCAGUCUUCGAGGUCAUAGGCCAAUUCACGGACGUGCCUCACCCAGGUCCUCACCAUAUUAUUCAUGAUGCUCUCCUCCUUGGCGACGUCAAGGAAGGACUGAAUCAUCUCGAACUCGAGAGUGAUGGACACAAGGUCACAGUGCGCCUUCUGCCGGAGCUUGGUGUCCUCCUCGAUCGCCGACUCGAUCUUGCUGAUCGCCCCCACCACCACCGAUUUCGCCAACCCAACCGCCAGUCGGUCCGCCAUGAUGCUACCUCUCUCUUCCUUCUCCCUUGGAUAGGUGUGUCUUCUUUCUCGUGUGGUCGGAGGUGUAGCUACAGAUCAGGAGCUGGUCAGCACCAGGAGAGGGAUGGCAGUCUUAAAGGAAAAACCCAUCCAUGAGCUAUGCUGUCGAAACAGCUAAUUAAUUAGACAAAACAAGUGGCCGGCCAGAUCCGUAAGACACGGGGGCAAAGUAUUGGCUCGAUGAUUCAAAGUAUAUAAUCAGAUCAUCCGCGUGCGUAGCUUUAACAGCCAAUGCAUCAUUUGAAGUAAACUAAUAUCUUUACCGGAACUAAUUUACGUACGAUAUUUAAAGAUGUGACUCUUGUACGAUCCCAAUCCAACAAUGUGCCUUUGUUCUGCUCCAUUCAAAGCAAUUGACAAAGGGCAUAUUAAUUUCAACUGUCGUCUCGUAUCGUAUGUAUAGCAUCGCUCUAGCUUAACAACUCUGUAUCAACCUUCCAGGCUGGCUUGUUAAUUAGCCUUUGUCCCCAUCUGAUAAAAAAAUAUGCACUCAAAGCUAGCUAGCUGUUUAGCUGUUUUCGAUUGUGAUGGUGAUCGACAAUGAUUUUAAUUGCUAGCUACGGACGCUGCAGCCUCAGAUAGCUGCGCUAUUUGAUAUAUAUAUAGUUUGCCAUCAGCUAUAGCUAAAGCUAUUACUAAGCAUGGGCAAAAAAUAGCAUCCAACCAUUUGUACAUGUAAAUUUAAUCCAAAACGACGAUGUAUAUAACUAAAUAACAUUAGAAAACAGAAACUCUAACAAUGUAGCAUCAAAUCUUUCUUAUGUGGUUGUUUUGUCUUGGAGCUUCGGCUAGUGGCGACUGCUUCAAGGCGAUUGCCAUGACACUCAUGCAUGAUGACAUAACCAUGAAAGAAAAUAAACCGUCCAUCCAUAUGUUAAUUAGUUAAAAGAUUGAUUCUCUUUAUUCCCUACUUAACCAACAUUUUUUUUGUUAGGCACUUGCUUUUUUCUCUUUUACUUUGGAAAACACGAUGGUUGGCAUAGCUAUAGGCCGGACCUCACCGCGAUGCCAUGAAAAACACGAUUUAAAACCUUGGUGACCGAGCUCCCAAUGUUAACAAUGACUUUCUUCCCCAUGUACACAGCAAUGCACACACAAAAACUCUAAUGGAGAUUGGCUCUCAAAUGGUAUAACUAAAUGAAGCAUAUGUGGAAUUACCAAAAAUCAAGCUCUUGAAAGAUUUAUGUGAAGCACAAGGAGCAAAAGUGAUGUCCAUCUCACUAUAAAGCAAUAUGCAUGGAUCCUCUAGCUGAUAUUAGUGAAUGCACAAGCAUGAGAGGCAGGGAAUCAUAUCUCACAUAUAAGCAAUAAACACAUGAAAUAUGAUGUAACCUACAAAAGAUCAUCUCACAUAAAAAUGAUUAUGAGGACUUAUAUGGUACCUCUCUCAUCUACUUAUUUUUUCCAGUUUUUUCCUGUUCUCUUUUUUUCCCAUGAUCUACAAUAAUGUCCGGUUCUCAGAGUAGUUACCUUUGCAAGGAUUUCCAUAGACCUUAAAUAAGCAAUCGCAUGUUCUCUAGUUCUGAAAACUCUAAGAUGUGCACUGGUGUUACUGAUAGUAAAUAUCAAUGGACCUGCGCCUAUAUAACGACACCACCAUGCUUAUGUGUGCUCUCACUCCACAUGGCGGGGGAGCUGAUCUGCUACGAAACAUCAAAAUGAUUAUUUCGUAUAAUGUUUUUCGUUUGUCCUUUGGCAGUGAAGUUCGGGCUUAUUUUCUCCAUGCAUAAUAGCAAAAUUGUAAGAAAUCUACAAUAGAAUCAAUUUUACUCGCAAGAGAAAAAUGGAUACGAUUGGGAAGCACCAUCGCUUAUCACGAAAUGUCAUUCUUAAGGGAGCUACCUAUAGUUCAGCUAUUACGCAACAGUUUUUAAGCAAGACUGCUAGCCAGACGAGUUGGUUUGAAUCAUAGGUGCGAGCUGAGCGGGUUCAACAUCACGUCAGUUUCCCUCAAAAAAACAUCAGUCUUGGUCUUGUUCCAUGAAUGGACGCCAUAAAACUAGUCGAUCUAUCGGAUUGAUGGGUGCGCACCAGCCGGCCGUAAUAUCAUAUGGCAAACCCAAGGUCAUGGAUUCUUGCUGUCCCCAAGGUUGUCCACCAACUAGGCACAUGUAAAUAUUGCACACACUAUAGAGCGUUGCUAGACAGACCACGCCUGCACGGCCGAUGCAUGAACGAUUCAUACGUGGCAGCACCAGCAGCUACCGAUUCUCAAUAAAAAAAGCACCAGCAGCUACCGUGCGUGGAGGAGCCCUGUUGGGGAGGGAGAAUCGUGCAGGUGUCGUGCACUAACCGUCGUGUGUAAAGCAAUUUUGCACACUAUAUGUGAACUAUUGGCAUCUAUCAUUUGGCAAGAGUAGGAGGAGCAUAUGUCUAGCAACGGCACGGGUCAUGUCAGGAAAAAAAAACUAUUGGCAUGGGUGGCCGAAAUGUGAAAAGGAGGAAGAAAGCGACUCAUUUUGCAUCAGCAUUUGUUUUAAACCAAACCAGUUCCUUUAGGCUACGUUUGGCAGCAGAGUAUUUCUAAAAACUGUAGUUUCUACCCUCCAAACUCACGUGGUGCUUAAAGUUUAUUUAGAAAAAUGAAAAUCUUAUUUUCAAAUAGUAAAGAGAUCAUCUUUCUCUAUUCUAUCUUUUUCUUGUGAGUUCUACGUUCACAUAGAUGGGCAACUUGAUAAAGAUGGUUGAACCAAGGUGCACUAGUACACUGAUAACUAAGUGCCAUCACCAGGUAGCAUGGCUGGUUCGCAAUCUUCAACCCAACGAACUAAGUACUAUCAAUGGCAUGCACCUACACCAAGAUGUUCUACAAUCAGCUUGCUAGUAAAGUUGGAGCUUGUUUUCUUCAUGCAUGAAAGCAAAGAAUCGCAAAAAAUCUACAAUAAUGCCAUUCUUAAGGGAGCAACCUAGCUCGCAUAUUACACAACAGUUUAAGCAAAACUGCUGGCCACAUGAGUUGGUUUGAGUCAUCCGUGGCUGAGCUGAGCUCAAAGUCUUGGUCUUGGCCUGUCGAUCGACGCCAUAAACUAGUCGAUUGAUUGUAUCAAUGGGUGCGCACCAGCCGUAUUAUCAUAUGGCAGACCCAAGGUCAUGGAUUCUCACUGUCCCCAAGGUUUUAACAAGGCCGCAUAGAUAGAUAGAUAGAUCGAUGCGUUCAGUUCAUUGCCCAAAGUUGUCCACCAAUCCGGCACAUGUAAAUAUUGCAAAGACCAUAUGUGAACUUUUGGCAUCUAUCAUUUGGCAAGAGUAAUAAUAAAUGGCACGGGUCGUGUCAGCAAAAUAAAAAUAAAAAUAUUGCCUUGGUUGGCUGAAAUGUGAAAAAGACGAAGAAAGCGACUCAUUUUUGCACCAGCAUUUGGUUUAAACCAAACCAGUUCGAGUAAAUUGCAUAAAACCACCAUUUUGAGGGCUAGGUUUGCGAAAAACACUAGGAUGCAGAUUCGCUGCAGAAAGCACCACGUCUAGCGUAAUUGUUUUGCAAAAACCACUGAUCGGCGGAUCGGGCCGUGUUAAGUGAGUUUAUGACAGGUGGAGCCCUUUUUUUUGCCUACGUGGCACUCCAGGCCGUCCUGAAAGUUGGCAGACAGCGUUAGACGGUGCGUUAGGUCUCGUCUUUAGUCAUCCCCGCAUCCAUCUCCUUUUCCCCAUUCUUCUUCCCCCCCCCCCCCUCACUCCCACCGCCGUCGCCCCUCGCACUACAGAGAUGCGUAGUCCGGCGAAAGGUGGAGUUGCUGGUGGCGGCAUUCCGCCCGGCAGCGCCGCACGCAUCGUAGGUAGUCGAGGAGGACCCGCGGUGGAUCCAGGCGAGCUUUGCGGGAGCUCGAACCCUAGCAAGCCGACGGAGGAAUUGGAAGAGGAGGACCCGCAGUAUUCGAUGGAAUACCGGGCAGCGAGAGCAUUCGCCGUGGCGGUGAAGGCCAGUCCGACGGGAAGACAGUACAUCGGGUCAUCCUACGGCGACGUAUAGUGAGAUCCACUUUUCUUUGCUCUUCCCCUUCCCGUUCUCCAGUGAAACUAUGUUGUGUUGGUACUAUUCUGCUACUCCAGUUGUGUGAAACUAUGUUGUGUUGGUACUGUUCUGCUACUCCAGUUGUGUGAAACUAUGUUGUCUUGAUGCUGUCAAACUUUGGAAUUCUAGUAGUCCUGUGAUGAUCAACUGUGAUGAUCAAUUGAUGUAGUGCUACUCUAGUUUUAAACCUUGUGUCAAACUACUGUGAUGAUCAAUUGAUGUAGUGCUACUCUAGUUUUAAACCUUGUGUCAAACUAUGGCAUUCUAGUAGUACUAUGUUACUCUUGUGAUGAUGGUGAUGGUGCUACUUGACCCUACUUGACCCUACUUGAUGCCUCGGCGUCGAUAAAAAGCCAAAAACCCUAACUUGGCCUACUUGAUGCCUCGACAUCGAUAAAAAGCCCAAAACCCUAACUUGGUCUACUUGAUGCCUCGACAUCGAUAAAAAGCCAAAACAACCCUAAUUGACCCUACUUGAAGCCUCGACAUCGACAAAAAGCCAAAAACCCUCACUUGACCCUACUUGAAGCCUCGUCGUCGACAAAAAGCCAAAAACCCUAAUUGACCCUACUUGAAGCCUCGACAUCGACAAAAAGCCAAAAACCCNNNNNNNNNNNNNNNNNNNNNNNNNNNNNNNNNNNNNNNNNNNNNNNNNNNNNNNNNNNNNNNNNNNNNNNNNNNNNNNNNNNNNNNNNNNNNNNNNNNNNNNNNNNNNNNNNNNNNNNNNNNNNNNNNNNNNNNNNNNNNNNNNNNNNNNNNNNNNNNNNNNNNNNNNNNNNNNNNNNNNNNNNNNNNNNNNNNNNNNNNNNNNNNNNNNNNNNNNNNNNNNNNNNNNNNNNNNNNNNNNNNNNNNNNNNNNNNNNNNNNNNNNNNNNNNNNNNNNNNNNNNNNNNCCUAAUUGACCCUACUUGAAGCCUCGGUGUCGAUAAAAAGUCAAAAACCCUAAUUGACCCUACAUGAAGCCUCGGCAUCGAUAAAAAGCCAAAAACCCUCACUUGACCCUACUUGAUGCCUCGACGUCGAUAAAAGCCAAAAACCCUAACUUGUCCUACUUGAUGCGUCGGAGUCGACAAAAAAAAAACAAAAAACCCCACUUGCCCUACUUAACUCAUAAUCAUCAGUUGAACAGAAACAUACUAAAGCCAAAAUCAUCAAUUGCAAACAGAUUACUUAAGAUAACAUUAACCAUCUCUAAAUACCACUGCAUUCAGCACUAGUUCAAAUCCAUACAUAAUCAUAGUUUGACAUUCAGCACUAGUUCAAAUACCACCACAUUCAGCUCUAGUU